RNAcentral lists this ribosomal RNA (301 nucleotides) under uncultured bacterium. RNAcentral describes it as "bacterial SSU rRNA". It matches the Rfam family "Bacterial small subunit ribosomal RNA", at positions 30 to 333 of the family's 1533-position model. The record is from RNAcentral.
AUUGAACGCUGGCGGCAUGCCUUACACAUGCAAGUCGAACGGCAGCACGGGAGCAAUCCUGGUGGCGAGUGGCGAACGGGUGAGUAAUAUAUCGGAACGUGCCCAGUCGUGGGGAUAACGUAGCGAAGCUACGCUAAUACCGCAUACGAUCUAUGGAUGAAAGCGGGGGAUCGCAAGACCUCGCGCGAUUGGAGCGGCCGAUAUCAGAUUAGGUAGUUGGUGAGGUAAAGGCUCACCAAGCCGACGAUCUGUAGCUGGUCUGAGAGGACGACCAGCCACACUGGGACUGAGACACGGCCCC